UUCACGGAGCUCCUGAGAGACGCAAUCUGAAGUGCGUCUCCCAUUUCGGUCGCUAGAGGGCAGCGCUUUCCUGCGUUGGUGGAGCACACCAAGGACUAGGGCUGCAUCUGUUUGCUGCAAGACUCAUUAGGCUGGCUGUGGACAUUUCACAGAGUGCCCCAGGGAAUGCACCGGUGUACCUGUUUUUCUCCUGACUGGGGAAGCCUUGGACCUGGACCAAGAAAGCAGAGCGCUUGUGUUAGCCAGUGGAUGAAGACUCAAGCUGGCUGAACAGCCUUUUUCCUGCUUGCUACAACAAGUUUUACAGGGAAAUGGCAGCUCCAUUCUUUCUCCUGUCUGCAUGUGAUUUCCAACAGGCUCAUUUCACCCACAUUCUGCCAGGGCCACCAGCUGUGCUUCAAAGUGGAUACUGACCAAGACAAUAUGCAAGUGUUUGCUUCAAGGUCACCCGGAGAGAAAGACACAAGGAUCUUUCUUUAUUUCUUUGUUUCUUUCAACUUUUUAUUGAUUCUUUGUGAAUUUCACAUUAUGC
Mastomys coucha (southern multimammate mouse) is the source of this 532-nucleotide long non-coding RNA. RefSeq lists it as uncharacterized. The transcript has 3 exons. NCBI's taxonomy places the organism in Eukaryota, Metazoa, Chordata, Mammalia, Rodentia, Muridae. The record is from RefSeq and is a predicted model, not a curated record.